RNAcentral lists this ribosomal RNA (497 nucleotides) under uncultured bacterium. Its description in RNAcentral is "partial 16S ribosomal RNA". It matches the Rfam family "Bacterial small subunit ribosomal RNA", at positions 28 to 507 of the family's 1533-position model. The record is from RNAcentral.
GAUGAACGCUGGCGGCGUGCCUAAUACAUGCAAGUCGAGCGAACAGACGAGGAGCUUGCUCCUCUGACGUUAGCGGCGGACGGGUGAGUAACACGUGGAUAACCUACCUAUAAGACUGGGAUAACUUCGGGAAACCGGAGCUAAUACCGGAUAAUAUAUUGAACCGCAUGGUUCACUAGUGAAAGACGGUUUUGCUGUCACUUAUAGAUGGCUCCGCGCCGCAUUAGCUAGUUGGUAAGGUAACGGCUUACCAAGGCGACGAUGCGUAGCCGACCUGAGAGGGUGAUCGGCCACACUGGAACUGAGACACGGUCCAGACUCCUACGGGAGGCAGCAGUAGGGAAUCUUCCGCAAUGGGCGAAAGCCUGACGGAGCAACGCCGCGUGAGUGAUGAAGGUCUUCGGAUCGUAAAACUCUGUUAGUAGGGAAGAACAAAUGUGUAAGUAACUAUGCACGUCUUGACGGUACCUAAUCAGAAAGCCACGGCUAACUACGUG